RNAcentral lists this ribosomal RNA (303 nucleotides) under uncultured bacterium. RNAcentral describes it as "partial 16S ribosomal RNA". It matches the Rfam family "Bacterial small subunit ribosomal RNA", at positions 507 to 807 of the family's 1533-position model. The record is from RNAcentral.
AGCAGUAGCCGCGGGAAUACGUAGGGUGCGAGCGUUGUCCGGAAUUAUUGGGCGUAAAGCGUGCGCAGGCGGUUUGUUAAGACAGAUGUGAAAUCCCCGGGCUCAACCUGGGAACUGCAUUUGUGACUGGCAAGCUAGAGUCUGGCAGAGGGGGGUGGAAUUCCGCGUGUAGCAGUGAAAUGCGUAGAUAUGCGGAGGAACACCGAUGGCGAAGGCAGCCCCCUGGGCCAACACUGACGCUCAUGCACGAAAGCGUGGGGAGCAAACAGGAUUAGAUACCCCCGUAGUCCCUGUCUCUUAUAC